RNAcentral lists this ribosomal RNA (251 nucleotides) under uncultured prokaryote. RNAcentral describes it as "partial 16S rRNA". It matches the Rfam family "Bacterial small subunit ribosomal RNA", at positions 525 to 775 of the family's 1533-position model. The record is from RNAcentral.
ACGGAGGGUGCGAGCGUUAAUCGGAAUCACUGGGCGUAAAGCGCACGUAGGCGGUGUCGUAAGUCGGAUGUGAAAGCCCUCGGCUCAACCGGGGAACUGCAUUCGAUACUGCGAUGCUUGAGUGCCGGAGAGGUUGACGGAAUUCCAGGUGUAGGGGUGAAAUCCGUAGAUAUCAGGAGGAACACCGGUGGCGAAGGCGGCCUACUGGACGACAAUUGACGCUGAGGUGCGAAAGCGUGGGGAUCAAACAG